GAUGAACGCUGGCGGCGUGCCUAAUACAUGCAAGUCGAGCGAACAGACGAGGAGCUUGCUCCUCUGACGUUAGCGGCGGACGGGUGAGUAACACGUGGAUAACCUACCUAUAAGACUGGGAUAACUUCGGGAAACCGGAGCUAAUACCGGAUAAUAUAUUGAACCGCAUGGUUCAAUAGUGAAAGACGGUUUUGCUGUCACUUAUAGAUGGAUCCGCGCCGCAUUAGCUAGUUGGUAAGGUAACGGCUUACCAAGGCAACGAUGCGUAGCCGACCUGAGAGGGUGAUCGGCCACACUGGAACUGAGACACGGUCCAGACUCCUACGGGAGGCAGCAGUAGGGAAUCUUCCGCAAUGGGCGAAAGCCUGACGGAGCAACGCCGCGUGAGUGAUGAAGGUCUGCGGAUCGUAAAACGCUGUUAUUAGGGAAGAACAAAUGUGUAAGUAACGAUGCACGUCUUGACGGUACCUAAGCAGAAAGCCACGGCUAACUACGU
Molecule: ribosomal RNA, 496 nt
Filed under: uncultured bacterium
Lineage: Bacteria
Description: partial 16S ribosomal RNA
Rfam family: Bacterial small subunit ribosomal RNA
Source: RNAcentral